RNAcentral lists this ribosomal RNA (254 nucleotides) under uncultured bacterium. RNAcentral describes it as "partial 16S ribosomal RNA". It matches the Rfam family "Bacterial small subunit ribosomal RNA", at positions 524 to 776 of the family's 1533-position model. The record is from RNAcentral.
UACGAAGGGGGCUAGCGUUGUUCGGAAUCACUGGGCGUAAAGGGCGCGUAGGCGGCUGUUCCAAGUCGGGGGUGAAAGCCUGUGGCUCAACCACAGAAUGGCCUUCGAUACUGGACGGCUCGAGACCGGAAGAGGUGAGUGGAACUGCGAGUGUAGAGGUGAAAUUCGUAGAUAUUCGCAAGAACACCAGUGGCGAAGGCGGCUCACUGGUCCGGUUCUGACGCUGAGGCGCUAAAGCGUGGGGAGCAAACAGG